GAGCUGGCAUCAGGCACACCCCCGGGUAGCCCAAAACGCCUUGCUAAGCCACACCCCCAAGGGAAUUCAGCAGUAAUUAAUAUUAGGCCAUAAGCGAAAGCUUGACUUAAUUAGAGUUAAUAAAGAGCCGGUAAAACUCGUGCCAGCCACCGCGGUUAUACGAGAGGCUCAAAUUGAUAUUCCACGGCGUAAAGCGUGAUUAAAGAAAAUAAAUACUAAAGCCGAACACCUCCUUAACUGUUAUACGUUUAAAGAGACACGAAGCCCCAUAACGAAAGUAGCUUUAACCCAAAAUCUUGAACUCACGAAAGUUAAGAAACAAACUGGGAUUAGAUACCCCACUAUGCUUAACCGUAAACAACGACGGAAAUUUACAAAUACCGCCCGCCAGGGAAUUACGAACACUAGUUUAAAACCCAAAGGACUUGGCGGUGCUUCAAAACCCCCUAGAGGAGCCUGUCCUAUAACCGAUAAUCCCCGUUUAACCUCACCACUCCUUGCCAACUCAGUUUAUAUACCACCGUCGCCAGCUUACCCCCUGAGGGUAUAACAGUAAGCUAAAUGGGCCCCCACCCAGCACGUCAGGUCGAGGUGUAGCGAACGCAGUGGGAAGAGAUGGGCUACAUUUUCUGAAACAGAACAUUACGAAAGGUGUCAUGAAACAGAACACAAUUGAAG
Molecule: ribosomal RNA, 678 nt
Filed under: Ophisurus macrorhynchos
Lineage: Eukaryota; Metazoa; Chordata; Actinopteri; Anguilliformes; Ophichthidae
Description: 12S rRNA
Rfam family: Bacterial small subunit ribosomal RNA
Source: RNAcentral